This 505-nucleotide ribosomal RNA is filed under the name uncultured bacterium. RNAcentral's name for it is "partial 16S ribosomal RNA". It matches the Rfam family "Bacterial small subunit ribosomal RNA", at positions 30 to 523 of the family's 1533-position model. The record is from RNAcentral.
AUUGAACGCUGGCGGCAUGCCUUACACAUGCAAGUCGAACGGCAGCAUGGAAGAGCUUGCUCUUCUGAUGGCGAGUGGCGAACGGGUGAGUAAAGCAUCGGAACGUACCGUGUAAUGGGGGAUAACGUAGCGAAAGUUACGCUAAUACCGCAUACGACCUGAGGGUGAAAGCAGGGGAUCGCAAGACCUUGCGUUAUACGAGCGGCCGAUGUCAGAUUAGCUAGUUGGUGAGGUAAAGGCUCACCAAGGCGACGAUCUGUAGCGGGUCUGAGAGGAUGAUCCGCCACACUGGGACUGAGACACGGCCCAGACUCCUACGGGAGGCAGCAGUGGGGAAUUUUGGACAAUGGGGGCAACCCUGAUCCAGCAAUGCCGCGUGAGUGAAGAAGGCCUUCGGGUUGUAAAGCUCUUUUGUCAGGGAAGAAACACCGGCUCUAACACAGUCCGGGAAUGACGGUACCUGAAGAGUAAGCACCGGCUAACUACGUGCCAGCCGCCGCAGUAA